This 133-nucleotide small RNA is filed under the name Klebsiella variicola. RNAcentral's name for it is "RtT sRNA". It matches the Rfam family "RtT RNA". From Rfam's summary of the family: This family represents a bacterial cis-regulatory element known as RtT RNA. The record is from RNAcentral. Lineage: Bacteria; Pseudomonadati; Pseudomonadota; Gammaproteobacteria; Enterobacterales; Enterobacteriaceae.
AUAUUCUACCCUACGGGAAGGAUGAGAAGCUUCGACUAAGGUUCGACUCGAGCGCCAGCGAGAGAACGUUGCCGCAGGCAACGGCCCGAAGGGCGAGGAGCGAUAGCGACGAGUUAUCCUUCCCCCUCUAUUC